AUUGAACGCUGGCGGCAAGCCUAACACAUGCAAGUCGAGCGGCUGCGACUUAACUGAACCUUCGGGGAACGUUAAGGGCGGCGAGCGGCGGACGGGUGAGUAAUGCCUGGGAAUAUGCCCUGAUGUGGGGGAUAACUAUUGGAAACGAUAGCUAAUACCGCAUAAUCUCUUCGGAGCAAAGAGGGGGACCUUCGGGCCUCUCGCGUCAGGAUUAGCCCAGGUGGGAUUAGCUUGUUGGUGAGGUAAUGGCUCACCAAGGCAACGAUCCCUAGCUGGUCUGAGAGGAUGAUCAGCCACACUGGAACUGAGACACGGUCCAGACUCCUACGGGAGGCAGCAGUGGGGAAUAUUGCACAAUGGGGGAAACCCUGAUGCAGCCAUGCCGCGUGUGUGAAGAAGGCCUUCGGGUUGUAAAGCACUUUCAGUAGGGAGGAAGGUAGUGUAGUUAACACCUGCAUUAUUUGACGUUACCUACAGAAGAAGCACCGGCUAACUCCGUGCCAGCAGCCGCGGUAAUACGGAGGGUGCGAGCGUUAAUCGGAAUUACUGGGCGUAAAGCGCAUGCAGGCGGCCUGUUAAGUCAGAUGUGAAAGCCCGGGGCUUAACCUCGGAAUUGCAUUUGAAACUGGCAGGCUAGAGUCUUGUAGAGGGGGGUAGAAUUUCAGGUGUAGCGGUGAAAUGCGUAGAGAUCUGAAGGAAUACCAGUGGCGAAGGCGGCCCCCUGGACAAAGACUGACGCUCAGAUGCGAAAGCGUGGGGAGCAAACAGG
Molecule: ribosomal RNA, 769 nt
Filed under: uncultured bacterium
Lineage: Bacteria
Description: bacterial SSU rRNA
Rfam family: Bacterial small subunit ribosomal RNA
Source: RNAcentral